GACGCACGCUGCCGGCGUGCUUAACACAUGCAAGUCGAACGGAAAGGCCCUGCUUGCAGGGUACUCGAGUGGCGAACGGGUGAGUAACACGUGGGUGAUCUGCCCUGCACUUCGGGAUAAGCCUGGGAAACUGGGUCUAAUACCGGAUAGGAGCCAUUUUUAGUGUGAUGGUUGGAAAGUUUUUUCGGUGUAGGAUGAGCUCGCGGCCUAUCAGCUUGUUGGUGGGGUAAUGGCCUACCAAGGCGGCGACGGGUAGCCGGCCUGAGAGGGUGGACGGCCACAUUGGGACUGAGAUACGGCCCAGACUCCUACGGGAGGCAGCAGUGGGGAAUAUUGCACAAUGGGCGCAAGCCUGAUGCAGCGACGCCGCGUGGGGGAUGACGGCCUUCGGGUUGUAAACUCCUUUCGCUAGGGACGAAGCUUUUUGUGACGGUACCUAGAUAAGAAGCACCGGCUAACUACGUGCCAGCAGCCGCGG
RNAcentral lists this ribosomal RNA (478 nucleotides) under uncultured Actinomycetales bacterium. Its description in RNAcentral is "bacterial SSU rRNA". It matches the Rfam family "Bacterial small subunit ribosomal RNA", at positions 28 to 520 of the family's 1533-position model. The record is from RNAcentral. Lineage: Bacteria; Bacillati; Actinomycetota; Actinomycetes; Actinomycetales.